CCUACGGGAGGCUGCAGUGAGGAAUAUUGGUCAAUGGGCGAGAGCCUGAACCAGCCAAGUCGCGUGAGGGAGUACUGCCCUAUGGGUUGUAAACCUCUUUUGUCGGGGAGCAAAAGCCGGACGUGUCCGGCUGUGAGAGUACCCGAAGAAAAAGCAUCGGCUAACUCCGUGCCAGCAGCCGCGGUAAUACGGAGGAUGCGAGCGUUAUCCGGAUUUAUGGGGUUAAAGGGGUGCGCAGGCGGAUUUUUAAGUCAGCGGUCAAAUCGUGGGGCUCAACCCCAUCCAGCCGUUGAAACUGGGGAUCUAGAGUGUGCGAGAGGUAUGCGGAAUGCGUGGUGUAGCGGUGAAAUGGAUAGAUAUCACGCAGAACCCCGAUUGCGAAGGCAGCAUACCGGUGCACAACUGACGCUCAGGCACGAAAGCGUGGGUAUCGAACAGGAUUAGAUACCCGUGUAGU
RNAcentral lists this ribosomal RNA (457 nucleotides) under uncultured bacterium. Its description in RNAcentral is "partial 16S ribosomal RNA". It matches the Rfam family "Bacterial small subunit ribosomal RNA", at positions 338 to 794 of the family's 1533-position model. The record is from RNAcentral.